RNAcentral lists this unclassified non-coding RNA (334 nucleotides) under soil metagenome. Its description in RNAcentral is "partial contains 5.8S ribosomal RNA, internal transcribed spacer 2, and large subunit ribosomal RNA". The stretch from base 1 to 120 matches the Rfam family "5.8S ribosomal RNA", at positions 35 to 154 of the family's 154-position model. The record is from RNAcentral.
GAUGAAGAACGAAGCGAAAUGCGAUAAGUAAUGUGAAUUGCAGAAUUCAGUGAAUCAUCGAAUCUUUGAACGCACAUUGCGCCCGCCAGUAUUCUGGCGGGCAUGCCUGUUCGAGCGUCAUUUCAACCAUCAAGCCCUGCUUGCGUUGGGGUCCUGCGGCUGCCCGCAGGCCCUGAAAACCAGUGGCGGGCUCGCUAGUCACACCGAGCGCAGUAAUACAUCUCGCUUUGGGCGUGCGGCGGGUUCUUGCCGUUAAACACCCCCUUUUUACCAAGGUUGACCUCGGAUCAGGGAGGAAUACCCGCUGAACUUAAGCAUAUCAAUAAGCGGAGGA